RNAcentral lists this unclassified non-coding RNA (432 nucleotides) under soil metagenome. RNAcentral describes it as "partial contains 5.8S ribosomal RNA, internal transcribed spacer 2, and large subunit ribosomal RNA". The stretch from base 1 to 120 matches the Rfam family "5.8S ribosomal RNA", at positions 35 to 154 of the family's 154-position model. The record is from RNAcentral.
GAUGAAGAACGUAGCGAAAUGCGAUACGUAAUGUGAAUUGCAGAAUUCAGUGAAUCAUCGAAUCUUUGAACGCAUAUUGCGCUCUUUGGUAUUCCGAAGAGCAUGCUUGUUUGAGUAUCAGUAAACACCUCAAAGCUUUUGAUUUUUUUUUGAAAGCUUUGGACUUGAGCAAUCCCAACACCAAUCUUUUUUCAGAUCGGAGGCGGGUUGCUUGAAAUGCAGGUGCGGCUGGACAUUCUCCUGAGCUAAAAGCAUAUUCAUUUAGUCCCGUCAAACGGAUUAUUACUUUUGCUGCAGCUAACAUAAAGGGAGUUUGACCGUAUUGGCUGACUGAUGCAGGAUUUCACAAGGGUCGGCAACGAUCCUUGUUAAACUCGAUCUCAAAUCAAGUAAGACUACCCGCUGAACUUAAGCAUAUCAAUAAGCGGAGGA